This 373-nucleotide ribosomal RNA is filed under the name uncultured bacterium. Its description in RNAcentral is "bacterial SSU rRNA". It matches the Rfam family "Bacterial small subunit ribosomal RNA", at positions 525 to 896 of the family's 1533-position model. The record is from RNAcentral.
ACGUAGGGUGCGAGCGUUAAUCGGAAUUACUGGGCGUAAAGCGUGCGCAGGCGGUUUUGUAAGUCAGAUGUGAAAUCCCCGGGCUCAACCUGGGAACUGCAUUUGAGACUGCAAGGCUAGAGUUUGGCAGAGGGGGGUGGAAUUCCACGUGUAGCAGUGAAAUGCGUAGAGAUGUGGAGGAACACCGAUGGCGAAGGCAGCCCCCUGGGCCAAUACUGACGCUCAUGCACGAAAGCGUGGGGAGCAAACAGGAUUAGAUACCCUGGUAGUCCACGCCCUAAACGAUGUCAACUAGGUGUUGGAAGGGUUAAACCUUUUAGUGCCGUAGCUAACGCGUGAAGUUGACCGCCUGGGGAGUACGGCCGCAAGGCUA